This is a non-coding RNA of Rhodoferax antarcticus ANT.BR, 168 nucleotides long. Lineage: Bacteria; Pseudomonadati; Pseudomonadota; Betaproteobacteria; Burkholderiales; Comamonadaceae. The record is from Rfam.
AUAAGGGUGACCGAAUGUGGAAAGGAAGCGCGGAGCAUAAAUUGCGAGCCGAUGAACAAGAACCGGAUAGAAGGCGCUGCCAAGCAGGUGCGUGCUGCAGCGGGCGCAGGACAGAAGCCGACGAGCCAUGAAUCAUCCGAGUGGAUCGCACGCAAAGUAGGUUUGUAC